This 470-nucleotide long non-coding RNA is filed under the name Mus musculus (house mouse). RNAcentral's name for it is "predicted gene, 26972". The record is from RNAcentral. Lineage: Eukaryota; Metazoa; Chordata; Mammalia; Rodentia; Muridae.
AGAUUACUUCUUUCUUCGCUACCAAUUAGCACAGUGGCUGCAUCAUGGAGGCUCAUGGUCUGGUCCAGGUCUCACAGCUAAUAUGAGGCAAAGAAAGAAGUCUAACCCGGAGUAUCAGCACCUACAGUGAAGCAGAUGAGGAGCAAAGAGGAAGUCUUGAGAGGAUUUCAAGCUGGUUAAAAUGACCAGAGCAGAGAGGAUGAUUUGGAAAAGGCCGCUUGCCUCUCCUGUAGGCUCUCCCCAGCAGCUUCUGAAGUGAUUCCGUGUGACUCAGACCAUCCCUUGGUCCCUCAGCUCCUGCAAAACACAUCAGAAGGCCGCUCAAAGUUGAAGAAAGCUCAAGAGAACCAUCAGGAUUGUUUUGGCUUAAGAAGACAAAAGGCACACCCUGAUUCGUUCUCUCCCAUCCAGUCCAUCAGCACAAACCCUUGUUAUGCUAUGGAUAAUGGAUUAAAGUGAACUGUAUGGAA